This 337-nucleotide RNase P RNA is filed under the name bovine gut metagenome. RNAcentral describes it as "Bacterial RNase P class B". It matches the Rfam family "Bacterial RNase P class B". From Rfam's summary of the family: Ribonuclease P (RNase P) is a ubiquitous endoribonuclease, found in archaea, bacteria and eukarya as well as chloroplasts and mitochondria. Its best characterised activity is the generation of mature 5'-ends of tRNAs by cleaving the 5'-leader elements of precursor-tRNAs. The record is from RNAcentral.
UUUAGGCAAACGCUGUAUUUUAAAUGUAAUAUAGAGGAAAGUCCAUGCUCACACCGUUCUGAGAUGACGGUAGUGUUUGUGUAUAGGGAAAAAAUAACCUAUAGUAGCUAUAUGCUAACGGCGAGUAAAUAUCCUAAAGAAAUCCAUGGAUAUUACUCUUAAAGUGCCACAGUGACGAUACUUUCUUGAAAAAGAAAGAGUGAAACGUUGGUAAACCCCACAAGUGAGAAACCCAAAAUAUGGUAGGGGAACUUUUACAAGGAAAAUGAACUAAGUAAAAGAUGAUUAAUCAUAGAUAAAUGUUUGCCACCAGUAAUGGUACAAAACAUGGCUUAUU